RNAcentral lists this ribosomal RNA (253 nucleotides) under uncultured bacterium. RNAcentral describes it as "partial 16S ribosomal RNA". It matches the Rfam family "Bacterial small subunit ribosomal RNA", at positions 524 to 776 of the family's 1533-position model. The record is from RNAcentral.
UACAGAGGGUGCAAGCGUUGUCCGGAAUCACUGGGCGUAAAGGGCGCGUAGGUGGCGCUGCAAGUCGGUGGUGAAAGCUCGCCGCUUAACGGCGAGUCGGCCAUCGAAACUGCAGGGCUCGAGCACUGUAGGGGCUAAUGGAAUUCCGGGUGUAGCGGUGGAAUGCGUAGAGAUCCGGAAGAACACCAGUGGCGAAGGCGGUUAGCUGGGCAGUUGCUGACACUGAUGCGCGACAGCGUGGGGAGCAAACAGG